ACCCUUUACCCAUGAGUGUGACGAGUGGGUGUGCAUGCCAUUCGCAUGAGAUGCGCCUCCCUCAAACCUUGUUACCAAGUGGUGAAGGUGUCAGGUGGGUCAAGGCCACGUCCUGACU
This 118-nucleotide small nucleolar RNA is filed under the name Fukomys damarensis (Damara mole-rat). Its description in RNAcentral is "Small nucleolar RNA U13". It matches the Rfam family "Small nucleolar RNA U13". Lineage: Eukaryota; Metazoa; Chordata; Mammalia; Rodentia; Bathyergidae. The record is from Rfam by way of RNAcentral.